AAGAUCAGGAGUGGGACUUGGAGGAAUAAGCUGCAUUUAGGAAAUGAGCAGAAGAAAGGUAGAGCUAAGGCCAUGAGGGCCAGAAGAGACGACUGGGGAGCAAAGGACGUAGGUGAGGGAGGAGGAAAUGAAGAAUUUAUACUGAAGGAACAACAAGGAUGACUUUUAGGAGGAGGGUGGUGAAUGGAAGAACCCUGAGACAAAGGAAGACAUCACCAGCCAGGGGAGACCAUCCCCUAUGACUUGCUUAUCAAGACAGGAAAAAAAUCGUUCAUCAUUGUGCAAAAUUUCAAGUCCACUAAACGAUCACAAGCAUCCUGACCUGAAAAUAUGGAUUUAAAUUACAGAAAAAUAUGAGAAAUUAUUUGGGAAAAUAUUAUAAAUAAGAAAUAGUCUGAGCCAUCAUAUUCAGAAGACAUGUGUCUCUCAUUCUGCAGAUUUUCAGUACAACACUAAGAGUGCGUCGUUUCAUGGGACUUGUCGAUUUUGAAAACCUUCAUUCUCUGCCCACAUUGAGUAGGCAACUAUUUCUCCAUGGCUUCCUCUUCCACACCCACUUCUACUAGAAACAGUUGGGUCUAAAAGGACCCAAAGAACAAAUGAAAUGGACGAUUACAUAUAUUCAUAGAGUUCUGUCACUUGGCUUCUUGUUUACUUGUCCUUAUAAUCCUAUGUGCCAGACUAGAAUGGCAAGCUCUGUUGUACAGUGAAAGAUUUGGUGAAUUUCAAUGCUUGCCCAAGAACACAAGGCUACUUAAGUGAGGAUUGCUAUUACAGAACCUAUAUUCCAGCCCCACUAAUGUUACAUUUCCCAUGAAAGACCAAAAGAAGAGAAAUCAGAUGUGUUAAGGGCUUGGUGGUAGCUGUGUUUUUCAUCUAUACAGCAUGUUUUCAUAUUGCCUUUGGCUAUUGAUCAUCAGUGAAUUUCCAAGUUAUGUGUGUGGAUAACAUGAUUUGUUAAGCAUGUCUGAACUGGAUCUCUGUCUCUUGCAACCAAAGGAACCCCAAUAUCAAAUACAUUUACAGCAGUGGAGAAAUAUAAUGCAAUUUAUCCAUUGUGCCCUGAGAUUUCCAGGCCAUACUAAGUUCAGAAG
This is a long non-coding RNA of Homo sapiens (human), 1094 nucleotides long. The record is from Ensembl. NCBI's taxonomy places the organism in Eukaryota, Metazoa, Chordata, Mammalia, Primates, Hominidae.